This 389-nucleotide unclassified non-coding RNA is filed under the name Bombus terrestris (buff-tailed bumblebee). Its description in RNAcentral is "misc RNA ENSBTSG00005026628.1". Lineage: Eukaryota; Metazoa; Arthropoda; Insecta; Hymenoptera; Apidae. The record is from RNAcentral.
CAAUCUGUUGAUAUAAUCCUCGGGAUCCCCGCUCAGAUCUGUAGUUCUGAGCCCACCAUUCUCAAGCGUGCCGUUACCUUUCCUGGAGCAAUAUAUCUGCCACUUUUUGUUCGCCGGAAGUGCCAGAACCGCCUGUCGGUUGGCCUGGGUCAGGUCCAGCUCGUCGACCAAUUCGAGGAACAUCUUGUUCAGUUCUUCCUCGGCAGGCAUCGGCAGGGUGGGCGUCAUUGCUUGAAGCGUGAGCGUACCCGUGUGCUCCACAACGCAAUACGUGAUUUCCGGUGGCUCGUCAUCCUGUAUGCAACCGCAGAAAGACUUUUUCACCCGUGAUGGCAUCGUCUGGCAGCGACCCACGAAUUCCUUCAAGGGCUGUGGACUCUUCACUGGGC